AAAUAUUACUUUUGAAAUAGAUAUUGUGGGUCUUGUCAUCGACUUGAAUAGGUUUUUGAAGUGGAGCAAUGAGUUUUGAGGAUUUAUAAUUUGGGAUUUCUCCGAGAUAAUAAGCAUUUACUGUCAUUUAAAAUUUGUUAUUUUUUGGUUAAAUUUCGAACAAGUAUUUUGUUGUUGGAAUUUAUGUCUGAAAUUUAAUUUGAACAUUGAGAUUGUAAUUUGAGAGUGAAUACUAUUUGUUAUACAAAUUAGUAAUGCUUUUUUGCUUAUUACUAUUUUUUAAAAUUUUAAUUCAUUGUAAUAUUUAGUUGUGGAACAGUAUUUUAAUAUGAAUUAUAAUUGCCGCUAUAAGUUUCGUUUAUCAAACAUUUAGUAUGUUUUUUUGUGGCA
Molecule: long non-coding RNA, 390 nt
Filed under: Ananas comosus (pineapple)
Lineage: Eukaryota; Viridiplantae; Streptophyta; Magnoliopsida; Poales; Bromeliaceae
Description: long non-coding RNA (ACOM_LNC038783)
Source: RNAcentral